UUAGAAGUAUCUUAUAUUAUGAUGUUUUUUAAUUAUUUUAUAUGUGUCUUGGAUAUCUCACAAUGGUGUAUUCAAAGUGUGUUGGACAAAAUAAGAAAUGUGCUUUUAGUAAGUUGUGUGUGUCGUAGCUUUAAUAUGUAAAAUAAGGUAAAAACAAGUAGUGGACGGUAAACAUUUAUGUAAACAUAGGUAAAAGAAGGUGAAAAAAAAAUUAAAGAACGUAAAGAAGUAGGUAAUCAUAGAUAAAGAAGUUUAGAAAAUAAGAAAACAGGUUCGAAGAAGGUGAAAAACAGGUAGAGGGAAGUAAAAAAGAAGAAGGUAAAAUAAGUCGGUGAACAUUGAUCAGUUAAAAACAGGUACAAGAAAGUGAAAAGUAUGUAAAUAUAGGUAAAAAAAAUAAAUUUGUUUAACAUACUGUAGGUAGAAGAAUGUAAAACACAAAAAGAAGCUGGUACAAGUAUGACAAGACGAGAAGGUAAAACAGUAGGAAAACAGAUAAAAUCAGGUAAAUGAAGAUUUACAAAAUGUGGCUAAAAAGGUAAAACGCACGUAGAAGAAGGAAACCAGUAGGUAAACGUUGGUCAAAGAAAGUAAACAGCAGAUAGAAAAAGGUUUAAAUUAGGGAUGCACCGAAAUGAAAAUUUGUGGCCGAAGCCGAAGCCGAAUAAAAUUUAAACGCUUGGCCGAAGGCCGAAUAUCGAAUACCGAAUAAUGAAUGCAGUUUUUCACAACUUUUUUAAUAUUGCAUAAAUAGCCUAGAAUAAAUAUUUAGACAUCUUUUUCAAACAAAGUAAUUUUUUAUUGAAUAUUGACAUUUUUUUAAUAUUCCAGUAGUCUUUGCCUUUCAAAAAAAGCACAAUUUUUCAUUUAUAUUAGGCCUUCAAACAAAACAUGCAUUCCAAAAAAAAAUAAAGUGCGUUAAAGUGGAUAAACCCACAACAAAUGAAUUAUUGUCCUUUUGGCAAAAGUCUGCUUAGCCACAGUAGAUAUGCUAAUAAUGUAAACAGAAGGCUUAAGUAAAUCUCAAUUAAGUGUGUGCUUGUAACCUCUUACACUUAUACAUGUAGCCUACACAACAGGCUAAUAAUGUAAACAGACGCCCCACUAAAUCUCAAUAAGUGUGUGCUUGUAACCUCAUACACUUAUACAGGUACACAACAUAUCCCAACGUCACCACGUCACUGCACGUUGGUUGAUUGCGUCACCGCGUCAAAAAAUGGUGUCACACGCCACUAUUUGGCCUUGUUUUUGACUCAUUCCACCGAAGGCCGUAUGUGGCUUUUUUUGCCAUAUUCGGCCAAAUAUAUUCGGUUACCGAUUAAUCGGUGCAUCCCUAGUUUAAAUGUAGGUAGACAUAGGUAAAAGAAGGUAAAAAGCAAAUACAAAAAGGUAAAAAAAUAGGUAAACAUUGAUAAAAGCAUUUAAAAGAAGCAAAAUAUCCAGUUGAAGAAGUUAGAAAUCGGUAAAAGAAGGUAAAAAGCAGGUAGGCAGGUAGAAGAAGGAAACCAGUAGGUAAACGUUGGUCAAAUAAAGUAAUACAGCAGAUGGAAGAAAGUAUAACUGUAGGUAAACAUAGGCAAAAGAAGGUAAAAAGUAGGUCAAUAUUGAUAAAAGCCGGUAAAAGAAGAUAAAAAGCAAGUUGAGGAAGGUAGAAAUAGGUAAAAGAAGGUAAAAAGCAAGUUGAGGAAGGUAGAAAUUGGUAAAAGAAGGUAAAAAGCAGGUAAAAAGCAAGUUGAGGAAGGUAGAAAUUGGUAAAAGAAGGUAAAAAGCAGGUAGAAGAAGGAAACCAGUAGGUAAUC
Nerophis ophidion (straightnose pipefish) is the source of this 1799-nucleotide long non-coding RNA. RefSeq lists it as uncharacterized. The record is from RefSeq and is a predicted model, not a curated record. Lineage: Eukaryota; Metazoa; Chordata; Actinopteri; Syngnathiformes; Syngnathidae. The transcript has 3 exons.